UUCUCCGAGAAUAUGCAGUGUCGAAACGAAGGUGUUAAGCUCACCGCCUGGGAAGUACGGUCGCAAGACUGAGACUUUAAGGAAUUGGCGGGGGAGCACCACAAGGGGUGCGGCGUGCGGUUUAAUCUAAUUCAACGCAGAGAACCUCACUAGCGGCGCCGGCAGAAUGAAAGUCAUGCUGAAGACAUUACUUAACGAGCCGAGAGGUAGUGCAUGGCCGUCGUCAGCUCGUGCUGUAAAGUGUCCUCUUAAGUGAGGCAACGAGCGAGACCUGUACCUACAAUUGCUAACAACCUCAUGAGGGAUUGAGCACAUUGUAGGGACUGCCCUGGAAACAGGGAGGAAGGUGCAGGCUACGGUAGGUCUGUAUGCUCCGAAUCCGCUAGGCUACACGCGCGCAGCAAUGACAGAGACAAUGGGAUGCAACUCCGAAAGGAGAAGCUAAUCCUCAAAACUCUGCCUUAGUUUAGAUUGAGGCUUGUAACCCAGCCUCAUGACACCGGAAUCCCUAGUAAUUGGAGUUCAUCAUGCUCCAGUGAAUAUGUCCCUGCUCCUUGCACACACCGCCCGUCAGGCCAACCGAGCAGGGUUUAGGUAAAAUUUAGCUUAUUGGUUGAAUUGAAUCUAAGCUCAGUGAGGUGGGCUAAGUCGUAACAAGGUAGCC
Molecule: ribosomal RNA, 664 nt
Filed under: uncultured archaeon
Lineage: Archaea
Description: bacterial SSU rRNA
Rfam family: Archaeal small subunit ribosomal RNA
Source: RNAcentral